GAUGAAGAACGGAGCGAAAUGCGAUAAGUAAUGUGAAUUGCAGAAUUCAGUGAAUCAUCGAAUCUUUGAACGCACAUUGCGCCCCUUGGUAUUCCGAGGGGCAUGCCUGUUCGAGCGUCAUUAUAACCCCUCAAGCUCAGCUAGGUGUUGGGGCCUGCUGCACUGGCAGCCCUUAAAAUCAGUGGCGGCGCCAUCUGGCUCUAAGCGUAGUAAUUCUUCUCGCUAUGGAGUCCUGGUGGAUGCUUGCCAUCAACCCCCAAUUUUUCUAUGGUUGACCUCGGAUCAGGUAGGGAUACCCGCUGAACUUAAGCAUAUCAAUAAGCGGAGGA
Molecule: unclassified non-coding RNA, 329 nt
Filed under: soil metagenome
Description: partial contains 5.8S ribosomal RNA, internal transcribed spacer 2, and large subunit ribosomal RNA
Rfam family: 5.8S ribosomal RNA (bases 1-120)
Source: RNAcentral